Molecule: long non-coding RNA, 4385 nt
Organism: Cavia porcellus (domestic guinea pig)
Lineage: Eukaryota; Metazoa; Chordata; Mammalia; Rodentia; Caviidae
Source: Ensembl
UUGUCCAGAUCCAGACAGAGACCAGCAACCAGGCAGAGCUGGGCGGUCUGUGGAUGGGUGUGUGUGUGUGUGUGUGUGUGUGUGUGUGUGUGCGCGCGCGCGCGCGCGCGCGCAUAGAGCACGGGCAAGGGGCAACCUGACCGGAAGACAGAGUAUGCAGUAUUGUCCUCUGAAGCAGCUCUCCUCCCGCCAGCCGAGACAAGACGGAGAUAGCCACCUUCUGUGGGGCCCGGUCCACCCUGGGCGCCCUCUCCCCCGCCCGAGCUGCUCCUCAGCCACAUGCCCUUGGGCUGAGCUAAGUCCAGAACCCGGCUGAGUAGGGGAAUUGUUCUGAGAAAGUGGCCCGUUGGCUGGUUGCUAUGGAAACCGACAUACCACAGCGCUGACCCCGGAGAGGUUUAGCACGCUCCCCCAGCAGGGAUGCCAGCAGCUGGACUGCAGCUGUUACAGCCUAAGUGGGGGCCGCCGCCGCCGCCAGCGGUCCCGCUGUUUGCCUAAACCAAGCCGGCAGCAGAGCGGCUCCGUGCUCCUGCCCGCGCCGCACCGCACCCCUCCUCCCCGGGAGGGGAGCAGCGCCCCAGCCACUGGAGGGUGGGGGUGGGGCGGCAGGGCGGCCUCGANNNNNNNNNNNNNNNNNNNNNNNNNNNNNNNNNNNNNNNNNNNNNNNNNNNNNNNNNNNNNNNNNNNNNNNNNNNNNNNNNNNNNNNNNNNNNNNNNNNNCUUGACGGGCAUGGGACGUCUUUGCAUUUUAUGUCUGGGGAAACUGAGACGCAGAGAAGAGGAGGAACUGUGCCUUCCCCGUAACGCGCUACUUGUCACCCUGCCGCCAGCCCCGCGCGGCCCACCCCGGACACCACCGAGAGAGUACUGCGCACCGAUGGAUGAAUGAAAGAAGCACCCCAAACGGAUGGCAGAACUAGAAAGAGGAACACCGAGAAGAGGAGAGGGAGCAUCCAACAAGGACAGCUUCAGAGCCAAUGCUCUCCUCGUCUGGCCACCUUUCUGUCUUCUGAAAAAGACCACCCUGUCAGUUGUGGGCAUCUGCCUCCAUUUGAGAUGGAGAUGAGGUAUCGAGAGGAUUGCAGGUGCCCUGACGUCUGGCCGGUGAGGUUAUGGAAGGCAUUUGUUGAGCAAAUGACACCCAACCCCAUCUGCAGGCCCUGUGAGUCUGGUGGCGGUGAGGGCACAUGUGGAAGAAGCCCUGGACAAGUAUCCCUGGUCAGAAGUAGUUUCCAGUCUUGAAGGACUCAGCAGCUGAGUGCUCUGAGGUUAAUCAGAUUACAGUCAGACACCGCCCUGUCCCAGAGAAGAGAUGCUUUGCCCACAUCUCAAGGCACAGUCGAGCACCCACUGAGUGGCGAUGGUCUUUAAGCAAAGUGAAGAGGUGAUGGUGAAAUUAGACCUGCAAGACCAUUCCAAGGGCAAACUCCAGACAGAGCUUUCCUUCCGUUGCCUCCUCCUUGCAAAAACAGAUCCAUGAAUAGCCAACUCUGGGAAGCAGCAGCAUCCCAUCCUGACAGCAGCCGUCACUGUGCCCUUCAGGAAAAGCUUGGAGAUGAACCCAAGACAAAAACUGGGCCAAGGCCACAGAGCAAAUCACCCUGAGACACGGUUGCAUCCCACCAGAUGACAGUGACACCCCUUCCCCAGUCACUGUCUCACUGAAGUCCCAACCACUUCCUGGGCCACCCUGCAGCACAGAUGACAAUUCUUAUUCCCAUGUGACAAGGAGGAAAAGUGUCCUUUGCGUGUGGCCUGAGUACACACCUGAGGUCACAAUAAUAAAAAGUAGUGAAGUCUGUGGGUCAGCACCCAUCCUCUUCAGGACAAGCCUCUUGGUAAAUUUUCUCUGUCCUCAGAGACUCUAGUACACAUGCAAACAUUUCUUGUACAGCAGCAAGACAAAAAGUUGUCCUGAAGUCUGCAGCAAGAUUUGUUCAGCCAUGUCUGGGUGUAGAGGGGAAGCAGAGGGGGAGAGGACGUAGCCAGAGCCUAGUGAGUCAUGGGUUAUGGGGAAAGGGAUCACCCUCAAGUGUGCUGUCACUCUGCAAAGAAUGUAGCACAAGCGACUAGGCUACUUUUCCGUUGACAGUGACUUCUAAAACAUCCCCAGGAUUCUUAAGCUAAGGGAGCAGCAGGUACCUUUCUAAGUAAAAAAUAAAGAGGGAGGUGGUAAUGGGAGAGGGGUGACUGGGUGGGACGGUGGACAGACAACAGGCUGCGUGCUGAGGAGCAGUGGGGUCAGUACAUGAGUGACAAGACACAGCACUCCCAGCCAGGUUUCCCAGAGCACAGGCUGUGGGCAGCGCCAGCAUUCUGAGGGGGCAGAUGUGAAGGGCAGAGGAUGAAGUUGGAUCCCACAGGGCCAGGCUGUGUGUUCAGGAGCAGGAAACAAGAAAGGCCUGGUCAGUUCAGAUACCCGGAGUGCUGAUGUGCCAGGCAGGAGGGCCGGGGCCCACAGAGGGACCUGUGGAACCCAAAGGAAAGAACCCAAACGCUUGGCUUACUGGGAGUAAUUUUAGAAUGAGAGCUGCAGACUAGAAAGAAAAAGAUUAUGUGUAUUACAAAACAUUUAAAAAUGGGCUGGCUGAAAAUUAAGGCCAAUUACAAGUAUCCUUACAACACUGUAGGUGACCCAAAAUGUUUACUGAAUGAAGAAGGCUCUUCUCAUUUUAGAGAUAAGAGAAACUAAGAGAUCUGUAGCUUUUACACGUAAUGAUAUGCUAUGUCUCCAAGAUAGCAACAAACCUCCCAAAGCCUACGGGAGAAAACCACUCUGUCUUGAUGAACUGCUUUUCAGUGUUGAGUUUGAAAAUGGUGCUCCACAUGUGACAGCUCCGUGUGCACCAGGGCAAAAUCUGGUUCUGUUGGAUCUGUCUGCACUGAGAUCCUACUGUAUGCCCGACACUGCACAGAAACACUUCCUUCCUCUUCCACUGCAGACCACAGCGAAGUAGGGUUUGCUGCCUUCGAGGAUCCUGUUGCUGAUGCUGCUGUUGCAGCCAAGGCUGAAGACACAGCAGGAGAUCUGCUGGCUCCUUGCAUCCCCUGGGGUCCUGAGCACCUCCUGGCUUGGUUACAGAGGACCUGGAUGACCUGUUCUGCCCGUCUUCCCAUCCCUGGCAACCUGGUGGCAGAAGGGGGGGUGUGGUGCCUGCCACAGUGCCUGUCUCCCUUGCCAUUUCUUCUGCAGCUCCCUCACUGGCCCUGUUUUUCAGACCUCUAGUAAUAAAAACAAGCCAAUAAAAUGAACAUGAAAAUAUAUUCAUUAGGAUUUAUAAUGCUCAUUAAAACUGCCUGUGUACGAAAGCAUGACUUAGCUUCAUAUAAGUGGGGAAAAAAUGCAAAUUAUACUGCAUGCAAAGAAGAUAUUUCCCUAAUCGUCCAAUCAAAUGCCAGCCCAAUUAUCUGUGGCCAACCCAAUGGGUUAAAAUUAUACUCUUUUUCCUUGGACACAGUGAGGCGCCUGAAAGUGUUUCAUUUUAAUAAAAAUGAAAUCUGGACCCUGCAGAAAACCAGCUUCACUAAUGACGUGUUUACACAGAGAAAGACAAUUUCUAGUUAAUGGUGAUUACUACCGAGAACAAAUUAAACUUCCUGGAGUAUAUGGGUUAGAGAUAAUGGGAAAAGGGGGGAAAAAGUUAUGGUUUUAGUGUGUGCACGGCGGCAUGGGGUACAGGAUGACACAGAGAGAGUGAAGCUGGGGAAGUCCGGGAGGAAGUUGUGGCCGCAGACGUGCUGGGAUGGGAGCAGCUGGGCCACGGUGGCUUCCCUAGCUUUGCUGGUGCUAAGCUUGGAGAUCCCAGGGUCGGACAUCUUUGGCUGGGACAAGGCUAGAUUCUUUCUGCAGGCUCUGGAAUCUGCCACUCUGUCCUUCUCGGAAGGCAGGUAACUAAUUUCAACCAUUACCAGCCAUCAGGAGCAUAUGGAAAGUUCCCUGUACUGCACUCCACUGGCUUCCUGAUAUGGCAACAGCUAGGACUGGGCUCCAGAGCUGUCAUGCAAAGCUGAGUGAGCAAGCAAACGCCAGGUGGGUGAUGGAGGAAGCAAAAUGGACAGGAGACAGAGUAAUGGAAUAAUGACUGAUGAUACUAGCAAAAGUCCUUUACUUCCUGCUGAUUUCAGUAUGGCCCCAGGGUCUGUGUGCUGGAAGUUUGGACAGUGUAAUGAUAUUGAAAAGCUGUAGCACCUUGAAGAGGUGGGGCCUAGUUGAAGGUGGUUAAGUCAUUGUUCCUGGAAAAAGGAAAAUGAAUUUAUAUAAAGAGUAAGCCUAGCACCUGGGUCUCUCUUGCUUCCUGUCCUGCUGUUGUGACAUCAUCUUCCAUGAGGCCCUCACCAGAGCCGAGCAGAUGCCAGUACUAUAUAUGUGAAUCUCAGAAACUGUG